UACGAAGGGUGCUAGCGUUGUUCGGAAUUACUGGGCGUAAAGAGCGCGUAGGCGGUUAUACAAGUCAGAGGUGAAAUCCCGGAGCUUAACUCCGGAACUGCCUUUGAAACUGUAUAGCUGGAGUGUGUGAGGGGAUAGCGGAAUUCCUAAUGUAGAGGUGAAAUUCGUAGAUAUUAGGAGGAACACCGGUGGCGAAGGCGGCUAUCUGGCACACAACUGACGCUGAGGCGCGAAAGCGUGGGGAUCAAACAGG
RNAcentral lists this ribosomal RNA (253 nucleotides) under uncultured prokaryote. Its description in RNAcentral is "partial 16S ribosomal RNA". It matches the Rfam family "Bacterial small subunit ribosomal RNA", at positions 524 to 776 of the family's 1533-position model. The record is from RNAcentral.